This 497-nucleotide ribosomal RNA is filed under the name uncultured bacterium. RNAcentral describes it as "bacterial SSU rRNA". It matches the Rfam family "Bacterial small subunit ribosomal RNA", at positions 30 to 520 of the family's 1533-position model. The record is from RNAcentral.
AUUGAACGCUGGCGGCAUGCCUUACACAUGCAAGUCGAACGGGCUUUUGGGGCUUGCUCCAAAAGCUAGUGGCGAACGGGUGAGUAAUACAUCGGAACGUACCUCGUUGUGGGGGAUAACUAACCGAAAGGUUGGCUAAUACCGCAUACGACCUAAGGGUGAAAGCAGGGGAGCUUCGGACCUUGUGCAAUGAGAGCGGCCGAUGGCGGAUUAGCUAGUUGGUGAGGUAAAGGCUCACCAAGGCGACGAUCCGUAGCUGGUCUGAGAGGAUGAUCAGCCACACUGGGACUGAGACACGGCCCAGACUCCUACGGGAGGCAGCAGUGGGGAAUUUUGGACAAUGGGCGAAAGCCUGAUCCAGCCAUGCCGCGUGAGUGAAGAAGGCCUUUGGGUUGUAAAGCUCUUUCAGACGGAAAGAAAAGAUGCGGGCCAAUACCCCGUAUCGAUGACGGUACUGUCAGAAGAAGCACCGGCUAACUACGUGCCAGCAGCCGCCG